GGGGCUCGCAAGACCUCCCGCUCAAGGGGCGGCCGAUGGCAGAUUAGCUAGUUGGUGGGGUAAAGGCCUACCAAGGCGACGAUCUGUAGCUGGUCUGAGAGGACGACCAGCCACACUGGGACUGAGACACGGCCCAGACUCCUACGGGAGGCAGCAGUGGGGAAUUUUGGACAAUGGGCGCAAGCCUGAUCCAGCAAUGCCGCGUGUGUGAAGAAGGCCUUCGGGUUGUAAAGCACUUUUGUCCGGAAAGAAAACUUCCUGGUUAAUACCCGGGGAGGAUGACGGUACCGGAAGAAUAAGCACCGGCUAACUACGUGCCAGCAGCCGCGGUAAUACGUAGGGUGCAAGCGUUAAUCGGAAUUACUGGGCGUAAAGCGUGCGCAGGCGGUUCGUUAAGACAGAUGUGAAAUCCCCGGGCUUAACCUGGGAACUGCAUUUGUGACUGGCGGACUGGAGUAUGGCAGAGGGGGGUAGAAUUCCACGUGUAGCAGUGAAAUGCGUAGAGAUGUGGAGGAAUACCGAUGGCGAAGGCAGCCCCCUGGGCCAAUACUGACGCUCAUGC
RNAcentral lists this ribosomal RNA (562 nucleotides) under Caballeronia sp. RNAcentral's name for it is "bacterial SSU rRNA". It matches the Rfam family "Bacterial small subunit ribosomal RNA", at positions 202 to 752 of the family's 1533-position model. The record is from RNAcentral. Lineage: Bacteria; Pseudomonadati; Pseudomonadota; Betaproteobacteria; Burkholderiales; Burkholderiaceae.